This 382-nucleotide ribosomal RNA is filed under the name Achromobacter insolitus. Its description in RNAcentral is "bacterial SSU rRNA". It matches the Rfam family "Bacterial small subunit ribosomal RNA", at positions 144 to 521 of the family's 1533-position model. The record is from RNAcentral. Lineage: Bacteria; Pseudomonadati; Pseudomonadota; Betaproteobacteria; Burkholderiales; Alcaligenaceae.
UAACUACGCGAAAGCGUAGCUAAUACCGCAUACGCCCUACGGGGGAAAGCAGGGGAUCGCAAGACCUUGCACUAUUGGAGCGGCCGAUAUCGGAUUAGCUAGUUGGUGGGGUAACGGCUCACCAAGGCGACGAUCCGUAGCUGGUUUGAGAGGACGACCAGCCACACUGGGACUGAGACACGGCCCAGACUCCUACGGGAGGCAGCAGUGGGGAAUUUUGGACAAUGGGGGAAACCCUGAUCCAGCCAUCCCGCGUGUGCGAUGAAGGCCUUCGGGUUGUAAAGCACUUUUGGCAGGAAAGAAACGUCGCGGGUUAAUACCCCGCGGAACUGACGGUACCUGCAGAAUAAGCACCGGCUAACUACGUGCCAGCAGCCGCGGU